CCCUUAGAUGUUCUGGGCUGCACGCGCGCUACACUGAUGCACUCAACGAGUUUACGACCUUGCCCGAUAGGGUUGGGUAAUCUUUUUAAAAUGCAUCGUGAUGGGGAUAGAUUAUUGCAAUUAUUAAUCUUCAACGAGGAAUUCCUAGUAAGCGCGAGUCAUCAGCUCGUGCUGAUUACGUCCCUGCCCUUUGUACACACCACCCGUCGCUCCUACCGAUUGAGUGCUCAGGUGAAUAAUUCGGACUGCAGCAAUGUUUGGAUCCCGAACGUUGCAGCGGAAAGUUUAGUGAACCUUAUCACUUAGAGGAAGGAGAAGUCGUAACA
RNAcentral lists this ribosomal RNA (326 nucleotides) under uncultured eukaryote. RNAcentral's name for it is "partial 18S ribosomal RNA". It matches the Rfam family "Eukaryotic small subunit ribosomal RNA", at positions 1470 to 1796 of the family's 1831-position model. The record is from RNAcentral.